RNAcentral lists this ribosomal RNA (494 nucleotides) under uncultured bacterium. RNAcentral describes it as "partial 16S ribosomal RNA". It matches the Rfam family "Bacterial small subunit ribosomal RNA", at positions 28 to 507 of the family's 1533-position model. The record is from RNAcentral.
GACGAGCGCUGGCGGCGUGCUUAACACAUGCAAGUCGAACGGUGAAGCGCCUUCCUUUUUGGUGGGUGUGGAUGAGUGGCGAACGGGUGAGUAACACGUGAGUAACCUGCCCCCUUCUUCUGGAUAACCGCAUGAAAGUGUGGCUAAUACGGGAUAUUCUGGGUCUGUCGCAUGAUGGGUCUGGGAAAGAUAUUGUUUCGGUGGGGGAUGGGCUCGCGGCCUAUCAGCUUGUUGGUGGGGUGAUGGCCUACCAAGGCGGUGACGGGUAGCCGGCCUGAGAGGGUGGACGGUCACACUGGGACUGAGACACGGCCCAGACUCCUACGGGAGGCAGCAGUGGGGAAUAUUGCACAAUGGGCGCAAGCCUGAUGCAGCGACGCCGCGUGAGGGAUGGAGGCCUUCGGGUUGUGAACCUCUUUCGCCAGUGAAGCAGGCCUGCCCCGUUUGUGGGUGGGUUGACGGUAGCUGGAUAAGAAGCGCCGGCUAACUACGUG